AGUGAACGCUGGCGGUAGGCCUAACACAUGCAAGUCGAACGGCAGCACAGUAAGAGCUUGCUCUUACGGGUGGCGAGUGGCGGACGGGUGAGGAAUACAUCGGAAUCUACUUUUUCGUGGGGGAUAACGUAGGGAAUCUUACGCUAAUACCGCAUACGACCUACGGGUGAAAGCAGGGGAUCUUCGGACCUUGCGCGAUUGAAUGAGCCGAUGUCGGAUUAGCUAGUUGGCGGGGUAAAGGCCCACCAAGGCGACGAUCCGUAGCUGGUCUGAGAGGAUGAUCAGCCACACUGGAACUGAGACACGGUCCAGACUCCUACGGGAGGCAGCAGUGGGGAAUAUUGGACAAUGGGCGCAAGCCUGAUCCAGCCAUACCGCGUGGGUGAAGAAGGCCUUCGGGUUGUAAAGCCCUUUUGUUGGGAAAGAAAAGCAGCAGGUUAAUACCCCGCUGUUCUGACGGUACCCAAAGAAUAAGCACCGGCUAACUUCGU
This 491-nucleotide ribosomal RNA is filed under the name uncultured bacterium. Its description in RNAcentral is "partial 16S ribosomal RNA". It matches the Rfam family "Bacterial small subunit ribosomal RNA", at positions 29 to 506 of the family's 1533-position model. The record is from RNAcentral.